AUUGAACGCUGGCGGAAUGCUUUACACAUGCAAGUCGAACGGCAGCACGGACUUCGGUCUGGUGGCGAGUGGCGAACGGGUGAGUAACAUAUCGGAACGUAUCCAAUAAUGGGGGAUAACGAGUCGAAAGAUUCGCUAAUACCGCAUACGCCCUACGGGGGAAAGCUGGGGGCCUUCGGGCCUGGCGUUAAUGGAGCGGCCGAUAUCUGAUUAGCUAGUUGGUGAGGUAAAGGCUCACCACGGCGACGAUCAGUAGCUGGUCUGAGAGGACGACCAGCCACACUGGAACUGAGACACGGUGCACACUCCUACCGGAGUCAGCAGUGGGGAAUAUUGGGCAAUGGGGGCAAGCCUGAUCCAGCCAUUCCGCGUGAGUGAAGAAGGCCUUCGGGUUGUAAAGCUCUUUCGCAAGGGAAGAAAACUUAGCCACUAACAUUGGUUGAGGUUGACGGUACCUUGAUAAGAAGCACCGGCUAACUACGUUCCAGCCGCCGCGGUAA
RNAcentral lists this ribosomal RNA (500 nucleotides) under uncultured bacterium. RNAcentral's name for it is "partial 16S ribosomal RNA". It matches the Rfam family "Bacterial small subunit ribosomal RNA", at positions 30 to 523 of the family's 1533-position model. The record is from RNAcentral.